Bos indicus x Bos taurus (hybrid cattle) is the source of this 967-nucleotide long non-coding RNA. The record is from Ensembl. Lineage: Eukaryota; Metazoa; Chordata; Mammalia; Artiodactyla; Bovidae.
UUUCAUUCCAACCAGACACCAGUUUGCUCAGGUGUUGGUUGUUUUUAGUUUUUCUGAAGCUGCUAGGACCUCAUUUCACAUUGAGAGACUUAGAAGUUCUUUCAUUCCCUAUAGAGAAGGCUAGGGUAAUUGAAUGCUGAGCGAGUGGGCUUUCCAUAUCGGCCAAGUCAGCCACCACAGAGGCUUUGGUGAAAACUCCUUCGGAGUGAGGCACAGACUUGUGAAUAUCACAUGAGAGCCAGGGCUGAGACGGGGCCACCUCAGCUGGGGAAAACCCCUGACUGCUCACCAGGCUGGACCCAGCACAAGUCACACCAGUUUGGUUGCAAAGGCCAGCAGGGCUAGCAGAGCCCAGCACGACAAAAGGAUCUGUUGAAGAAAGUGGACAUUCAAUUAAUGACUCACCUGACACCAUAGCUUCCUCUCCAGAGUGAUAUCUUAGCUUUGAGAUACACUGAAGCUUGACUCUCAUGACAUUUCACUAUCAAACAUUCAGGAAAGUGUGUUUGCUGAUACAGUAUUUUGGACACAUCUUGGAUGAUUUUGAGCUGGCAAAAUAAUAGAGAAGGAAUUAUGACAUGUGAAUAUCUUAAAUAUUAUCUGAAUGGACCUAUAGGGAAUUGUUGGAGGAGGUCAUUAAGAGGACAUGACCAUUGGUUGACAUGUGAAAUUGACCUAGGCAAUCAGGGGCUCAUCACCCCUCCCCUGUGGGUGUGGAGAUCUACUCAUCUUACAAUUUCCCAAGACAAGUCUGGUGAGUAAGUUCCUUUGAUUAUUAAACAUGCCAUUUAUCACUCAGGAGUGGACUGCUUCUUCCUUUGGUCUCUCUUUGAUGACCAUAUAUGAGGGCCAGUUUGUGAACCAACAAGGAUAAGUAUCAGUCAUUUAUAUAUCAGUGGUUCUACCAUGAAGAGAGGUUUUCCUGUGCUGAUCAAAAUACAUAUGUAGAAUAAAACCUGUCUUAACG